RNAcentral lists this microRNA precursor (206 nucleotides) under Oryza brachyantha (malo sina). RNAcentral describes it as "MIR812 microRNA precursor family". It matches the Rfam family "MIR812 microRNA precursor family". Lineage: Eukaryota; Viridiplantae; Streptophyta; Magnoliopsida; Poales; Poaceae. The record is from Rfam by way of RNAcentral.
AAUAAACCAAUCUUUUACUUUUUAGCUACAAUGUUUGACACUUCGUCUUAUUUCAAAUUUUUAUGAUUAAUAUUUUUGUUUUUUAUUAGAUGAUAAAUCAUGAAUAGUAUUUUACGUGUGACUAAAUUUUUUUUAAUUUCUUGAAAAUUUUUCAAAUAAGACGAAUGAUCAAAUGUUGGACACAUAUAGUCAAAACUUUGCCUUAU